Molecule: ribosomal RNA, 504 nt
Filed under: uncultured bacterium
Lineage: Bacteria
Description: partial 16S ribosomal RNA
Rfam family: Bacterial small subunit ribosomal RNA
Source: RNAcentral
AUUGAACGCUGGCGGCACGCUUAACACAUGCAAGUCGAGCGGUAACAUGGGUAGUAGCAAUACUAUCUGAUGACGAGCGGCGGACGGGUGAGUAACACGUAGGAACUUGACCAGGAGAGGGGGACAACCAAGGGAAACUUUGGCUAAUACCGCAUAUACUCGAGAGAGGAAAGCUGCCAGCAAUGGUGGCGCAAUUGGAGAGGCCUGCGUCCGAUUAGCUAGUUGGUGAGGUAAUAGCUUACCAAGGCGAGGAUCGGUAACUGGUCUGAGAGGACGACCAGUCACACUGGGACUGAGACACGGCCCAGACUCCUACGGGAGGCAGCAGUGGGGAAUCUUGGACAAUGGGGGCAACCCUGAUCCAGCGAUGCCGCGUGAGUGAAGAAGGCCUUCGGGUCGUAAAGCUCUUUAGGCUGGGAAGAAGGUUAGUAGUUUAAGAGAUAACUAGCUUGACUGUACCAGCAGAAUAAGCACCGGCAAACUCUGUGCCAGCCGCCGCUGUAA